Molecule: small RNA, 818 nt
Filed under: Pongo abelii (Sumatran orangutan)
Lineage: Eukaryota; Metazoa; Chordata; Mammalia; Primates; Hominidae
Description: processed transcript
Source: RNAcentral
UAUCCCGAGUGUUGCGUGGAUGUAAAACCCAUUUCACAAGAGAAGAUUGAGAGUGAGAGAGCCCUCAUCAGCCAGUGUGGAAAACCAGUGGUAAACGUCAGCUACAGGCCAGCUUAUGACCAGAUACUGAAACCAGAGGAAAUCAGAAGAUACUAGAGGGCUUCAUGUUUCUGUAAACUAGGUGGCCCAGUUGAAAUCCUUCCCUUCCUCUACCUUGGAAGUGCCUACCACGCAUCCAAGUGCGAGUUCCUCGCCAGCCUGCACAUCACAGCCCUGCUGAAUGUCUCCCGACGGACCUCCGAGGCCUGCACGACCCACCUACACUACAAAUGGAUCCCUGUGGAAGACAGCCACACGGCUGACAUUAGCUCCCACUUUCAAGAAGCAAUAGACUUCAUUGACUGUGUCAGGGAAAAGGGAGGCAAGGUCCUGGUCCACUGUGAGGCUGGGAUCUCCCGUUCACCCACCAUCUGCAUGGCUUACCUCAUGAAGACCAAGCAGUUCCGCCUGAAGGAGGCCUUCGAUUACAUCAAGCAGAGGAGGAGCAUGGUCUCGCCCAACUUUGGCUUCAUGGGCCAGCUCCUGCAGUACGAAUCUGAGAUCCUGCCCUCCACACCGAAUGCCCAGCCUCCCUCCUGCCAAGGGGAGGCAGCAGGCUCGUCACUGAUAGGCCAUUUGCAGACACUGAGCCCUGACAUGCAGGGUGCCUACUGCACAUUCCCUGCCUCGGUGCUGGCACCGGUGCCUACCCACUCAACAGUCUCAGAGCUCAGCAGAAGCCCUGUGGCAACGGCCACAUCCUGCUAAAACUGGGAUGG